CCGUACACAAAAAUGCACAUAUUGUGAGCUCGAUGAGUAGGGCGGGACACGUGGUAUCCUGUCUGAAUAUGGGGGGACCAUCCUCCAAGGCUAAAUACUCCUGACUGACCGAUAGUGAACCAGUACCGUGAGGGAAAGGCGAAAAGAACCCCGGCGAGGGGAGUGAAAAAGAACCUGAAACCGUGUACGUACAAGCAGUGGGAGCCUCUUAAUGGGGUGACUGCGUACCUUUUGUAUAAUGGGUCAGCGACUUAUAUUCUGUAGCAAGGUUAACCGAAUAGGGGAGCCGAAGGGAAACCGAGUCUUAACUGGGCGUUAAGUUGCAGGGUAUAGACCCGAAACCCGGUGAUCUAGCCAUGGGCAGGUUGAAGGUUGGGUAACACUAACUGGAGGACCGAACCGACUAAUGUUGAAAAAUUAGCGGAUGACUUGUGGCUGGGGGUGAAAGGCCAAUCAAACCGGGAGAUAGCUGGUUCUCCCCGAAAGCUAUUUAGGUAGCGCCUCGUGAAUUCAUCUCCGGGGGUAGAGCACUGUUUCGGCAAGGGGGUCAUCCCGACUUACCAACCCGAUGCAAACUGCGAAUACCGGAGAAUGUUAUCACGGGAGACACACGGCGGGUGCUAACGUCCGUCGUGAAGAGGGAAACAACCCAGACCGCCAGCUAAGGUCCCAAAGUCAUGGUUAAGUGGGAAACGAUGUGGGAAGGCCCAGACAGCCAGGAUGUUGGCUUAGAAGCAGCCAUCAUUUAAAGAAAGCGUAAUAGCUCACUGGUCGAGUCGGCCUGCGCGGAAGAUGUAACGGGGCUAAACCAUGCACCGAAGCUGCGGCAGCGACACUAUGUGUUGUUGGGUAGGGGAGCGUUCUGUAAGCCUGCGAAGGUGUGCUGUGAGGCAUGCUGGAGGUAUCAGAAGUGCGAAUGCUGACAUAAGUAACGAUAAAGCGGGUGAAAAGCCCGCUCGCCGGAAGACCAAGGGUUCCUGUCCAACGUUAAUCGGGGCAGGGUGAGUCGACCCCUAAGGCGAGGCCGAAAGGCGUAGUCGAUGGGAAACAGGUUAAUAUUCCUGUACUUGGUGUUACUGCGAAGGGGGGACGGAGAAGGCUAUGUUGGCCGGGCGACGGUUGUCCCGGUUUAAGCGUGUAGGCUGGUUUUCCAGGCAAAUCCGGAAAAUCAAGGCUGAGGCGUGAUGACGAGGCACUACGGUGCUGAAGCAACAAAUGCCCUGCUUCCAGGAAAAGCCUCUAAGCAUCAGGUAACAUCAAAUCGUACCCCAAACCGACACAGGUGGUCAGGUAGAGAAUACCAAGGCGCUUGAGAGAACUCGGGUGAAGGAACUAGGCAAAAUGGUGCCGUAACUUCGGGAGAAGGCACGCUGAUAUGUAGGUGAAGCGACUUGCUCGUGGAGCUGAAAUCAGUCGAAGAUACCAGCUGGCUGCAACUGUUUAUUAAAAACACAGCACUGUGCAAACACGAAAGUGGACGUAUACGGUGUGACGCCUGCCCGGUGCCGGAAGGUUAAUUGAUGGGGUUAGCGGUAACGCGAAGCUCUUGAUCGAAGCCCCGGUAAACGGCGGCCGUAACUAUAACGGUCCUAAGGUAGCGAAAUUCCUUGUCGGGUAAGUUCCGACCUGCACGAAUGGCGUAAUGAUGGCCAGGCUGUCUCCACCCGAGACUCAGUGAAAUUGAACUCGCUGUGAAGAUGCAGUGUACCCGCGGCAAGACGGAAAGACCCCGUGAACCUUUACUAUAGCUUGACACUGAACAUUGAGCCUUGAUGUGUAGGAUAGGUGGGAGGCUUUGAAGUGUGGACGCCAGUCUGCAUGGAGCCGACCUUGAAAUACCACCCUUUAAUGUUUGAUGUUCUAACGUUGGCCCCUGAUCGGGGUUGCGGACAGUGUCUGGUGGGUAGUUUGACUGGGGCGGUCUCCUCCUAAAGAGUAACGGAGGAGCACGAAGGUUGGCUAAUCCUGGUCGGACAUCAGGAGGUUAGUGCAAUGGCAUAAGCCAGCUUGACUGCGAGCGUGACGGCGCGAGCAGGUGCGAAAGCAGGUCAUAGUGAUCCGGUGGUUCUGAAUGGAAGGGCCAUCGCUCAACGGAUAAAAGGUACUCCGGGGAUAACAGGCUGAUACCGCCCAAGAGUUCAUAUCGACGGCGGUGUUUGGCACCUCGAUGUCGGCUCAUCACAUCCUGGGGCUGAAGUAGGUCCCAAGGGUAUGGCUGUUCGCCAUUUAAAGUGGUACGCGAGCUGGGUUUAGAACGUCGUGAGACAGUUCGGUCCCUAUCUGCCGUGGGCGCUGGAGAACUGAGGGGGGCUGCUCCUAGUACGAGAGGACCGGAGUGGACGCAUCACUGGUGUUCGGGUUGUCAUGCCAAUGGCACUGCCCGGUAGCUAAAUGCGGAAGAGAUAAGUGCUGAAAGCAUCUAAGCACGAAACUUGCC
RNAcentral lists this ribosomal RNA (2437 nucleotides) under Escherichia coli. Its description in RNAcentral is "partial 23S ribosomal RNA". It matches the Rfam family "Bacterial large subunit ribosomal RNA", at positions 373 to 2798 of the family's 2925-position model. Lineage: Bacteria; Pseudomonadati; Pseudomonadota; Gammaproteobacteria; Enterobacterales; Enterobacteriaceae. The record is from RNAcentral.